CAGUAGCCGCGGUAAUACGUAGGUCCCGAGCGUUGUCCGGAUUUAUUGGGCGUAAAGGGAGCGCAGGCGGUUUAGUAAGUCUGAAGUUAAAGGCAUUGGCUCAACCAAUGUAUGCUUUGGAAACUGUUAGACUUGAGUGCAGAAGGGGAGAGUGGAAUUCCAUGUGUAGCGGUGAAAUGCGUAGAUAUAUGGAGGAACACCGGUGGCGAAGGCGGCCAUCUGGGACAACACUGACGCUGAGGCACGAAAGCGUGGGGAGCAAACAGGAUUAGAUACCCGUGUAGUCCCUGUCUCUUAUACA
This 301-nucleotide ribosomal RNA is filed under the name uncultured bacterium. RNAcentral describes it as "partial 16S ribosomal RNA". It matches the Rfam family "Bacterial small subunit ribosomal RNA", at positions 509 to 808 of the family's 1533-position model. The record is from RNAcentral.